AAAGUGUUAUUUGACUGGAGUGAGGUCUCAUGUCUGCUUAUGCGGUGGCUCGCUGCUCAGAACAGGAUGGCAGAGAUGAGCACCACCAUCAAAAACUCAAGGACCAGUGCUGUGGGUCCAGUCAUCUGUUUCAUGGAAUUCACCAGUCUGGUAUCUUCAAAAUCCAGAAGGAUGAUGGCAGAUGGCAGGAAGGAGGAAGAGGGUAAUCUGGAAGAGUUUCCUGACCUACUCUGCUGCUGUGAUUAAACAACCACCAGGAAAUUUUGAUGACACUGUUCUCCUGAGCUCCUCCCUUUCCUCGGGGAAGAAAAGCAUUGAAACUACAAAAAUAAAGUGUUAUUUGGCUGGAGUGAGGUCUCAUGUCUGCUUAUGCGGUGGCUCGCUGCUCAGAACAGGGAACCAUUGGAGAUACUCAUUACUCUUUGAAGGCUUACAGUGGAAUGAAUUCAAAUACGACUUAUUUGAGGAAUUGAAGUUGACUUUAUGGAGCUGAUAAGAAUCUUCUUGGAGAAAAAAAGACUGGGUAUAUUUUCAAUAUGCUUUCCUUUUAAGGUCCCUCACCUGUGGAAAGUAAAGAAUGUCACUUUCUGACAGGCUCAGGAACCUCAAGUUAUGUAGGGAUCUCAAGAAGAUGGGGGAAUUCACCCAGUUCAUACAGGUGAAAUUGCUGUUGCAAAGAUUAUGAAUAUGAGAGAAGUCCAGCAUGGCUGACUUCAUCUCGUGUCUGGCCUCAGGCUGGCUGCCCUUGCUCACUCUUGGGCAUAGGCCAAGCUAGCCAUGGGAGGAAUUUAGUUUAUAGUUUAACUUUGAAGCACGGAUGAUAAUAGUCUCUCCCUAAAAUGAACCCCUUCCUUGCUCAGGGACUGAAACUACCUUUGUAUGACAAAUGAAAGCCCACAAGAUUAAGAUUAUGAGAGGGGCCUGAAUUCUGCUAAAAUGCAGGUGUAGCUGACUGAUAACAAGUCAUUGUCCCACAGCUUGCCUUUCUAUAAUCUCUUGCUUCUCAGGAGUCACAUGGCCAGAGGUCCUGAGAUUUCCAGUCCUGUGACCCCCACCCAGAGAUGGACUUAGUGCAUGAGGACCAUUUUCCACACCCCUAUGAUUUCAUCCUCAAACAAUCAGCAGCAACCAUUCCCUAGCCCCCUGCCUUCCAAAUUAUCCAUAAAAAUCCUAGCCUCUGAGUUAUUAGGGAGAUUGAUUAAUAAUCCCAGUCCUACCCCUUGGGUUGCUCUGAUUUAAUUAAACCUUCUCUACUGCAAUACCACGGACUCAGUAAAUUGGUUUUGUCUGUGCAAUGGGCAAGAAGAACAUGUUGCAUGGUUAUACAGGUACUACAAGCACAGUCUGAUGGCAAAUUAUUGGUUUUGCUUCCUGCCCUUGAUGUUUCUAAACAUCUAGUCCAAAAUUACUUGUGAAAGGUCCAGCAAAGCCAAUUUUAAAAGAGGCUAUAUGGCCAAUCACUAUUCUUUCUACACAUUAUUGCAAAUAAUCAGGCCACGGCUGGGCACGGUGGCUCAUGCCUGCAAUCCCAGCACUUUGGGAGGCUGAGGCAGGAUCACCUGAAAUCAGGAGUUCAAGACCAGCCUAGGCAACAUGAUAAAACCCUGUCUCUACUAAAAAUACAAAAUUAGCCAGGCAUGGUGGCAUGCACCUGUAAUCCCAGCUACUUGGGAGACUGAGGGAGGAGAAUCACUUGAACCUGGGAGGCAGAGAUUGCAGUGAGCUGAGAUCACACCACUGCACUCCAGCCUGGGCAAUAGAGUGAGACUUUGUCUCAAAUAAUAAUAAUAAUAAUCAGACCAAGUAUAAUGAAAUUAAAAUUUAUUUUGCAAAUAAAUUGGUCCUACUACAAUUUAUCCUUCAUAGAAAUGUGGAAACUGAAGAUAAAAAAAAUUAGGUUUCAGAAGAAAACUAUACUACACCUGUUAUUAGAUUCUAGCCCUAAACAUUGUUUUUGAGGUUUUUAUUAUUUACCUGCAAUUUGGUCUAAAUUCUGAAUUAUUUCCUGACUACAAGUAUCCAAGGAAUAAAUGGGUUUUCUUUUUCUUUAUGAUAGUUUUAGUUGGCUUCUAAUGCAACAACAAUUUUUAUUGUAAUCCUGUGUGCAUUCUAUUCCUACUAUUCAAAUUAUUAAUGUUAUAGAUCUUUCAUUGUAGUACUUCUGAAUUAACCAAAAUCACAGUAUUCUGAAGAUGAUUCUACAAAGCCUGCUGUUUCUACAAAGGCUGCUGAUGAUUUCUACAAAGCCUGCUGUAGUGUUGCUGUGGCCUCUGCUUAAAAAAGUAGAAAACACAUUGAUGCAGCAUGUUCACCCCAACCUCCCUGCCUAAAGGCUCAGGGACCAUCUUGGAAGAGGAAGGCGCGUGAGAUUGUAAGAGCCGAAUUAGGGGGAUGGAGUGUGGAGAAUAAGGACACUUCAUCUUGGAUGCUCACCUGCCAAAUUGACUUCUGAUGAAAGCCAGCUCCAGAAAUGUGCCUACAGUUACUACUUUCACCUAAACCCUGCCCUUAGUCAAAUCCUUCUCUUCUUCUAAGCAAUCAACUUCAAUUCCUUGUAUAACCCACAGUAUAAAAGGGCUUUUAUACCAUUCUAUCCUAUUGCAUGUAAGCCUUGGGUCUGGGAGGUAACAGUGUGGGAUUCCACCAUCUCAUCUCCCUGCCACCCAAACAUGCCUGCUCUUCUUUAAGCAAUAUUAAAUGUUUGUACUUCAGAAA
Molecule: long non-coding RNA, 2715 nt
Filed under: Homo sapiens (human)
Lineage: Eukaryota; Metazoa; Chordata; Mammalia; Primates; Hominidae
Description: PREDICTED lncRNA (TCONS_00142515)
Source: RNAcentral